This 370-nucleotide ribosomal RNA is filed under the name uncultured bacterium. RNAcentral describes it as "bacterial SSU rRNA". It matches the Rfam family "Bacterial small subunit ribosomal RNA", at positions 31 to 415 of the family's 1533-position model. The record is from RNAcentral.
GAACGCUGGCGGCGUGCUUAACACAUGCAAGUCAAACGGGUGAGUUGGUAGCAAUACCAGCAAGCUAGUGGCAGACGGGUGAGUAAUAUAUGGGAAUCUACCUUGUAGUGCGAAAUAACAGUUGGAAACGACUGCUAAUGUCGCAUAUUGCCGAGAGGUGAAAGAUUUAUCGCUACAAGAUGAGCCCAUACAAGAUUAGCUAGUUGGUGAGGUAAUGGCUCACCAAGGCUACGAUCUUUAGUUGGUCUGAGAGGAUGAUCAGCCACACUGGAACUGAGACACGGUCCAGACUCCUACGGGAGGCAGCAGUGGGGAAUAUUGGACAAUGGGCGAAAGCCUGAUCCAGCGACGCCGCGUGAGUGAUGAAGGC